CUGAAUGUCCUUUCUUUCUACAAUAGUAUCAUAAUUCUGGGACACUUUCAUACUCUAUGAUUUGAUUGAAGGUGUCAGAUUCACCAUUGUUAUCUAUUACUGCAACUUGAAUUUCCUUAAUCCUUGGUUUGGUCAGGUCAAUCUCCAUACGAGCCUUCACCGUAGAAGGCCUUGUGCGCGCUACAGUGGCUUUGUCCAGAGCAAUCAGGGGACCUAUUGGUUCAAAAAUUCGUUCCAUCGCUGCCCAGGCAUGGUAGUGCCACGGCAGUUCAGGUAAGGUAACGCACACCAGGGCUAUGGUCGAUUCCAAAUCCGCUUUGAAUUUCCUAGUCCAUCUUUCAAUUCCCAUGACCAUUCCACAGAGCAACAUCGAUGAUUUUG
Molecule: long non-coding RNA, 381 nt
Filed under: Nicotiana benthamiana
Lineage: Eukaryota; Viridiplantae; Streptophyta; Magnoliopsida; Solanales; Solanaceae
Description: long non-coding RNA (NBEN_LNC024776)
Source: RNAcentral